UGGGAUGACGUCAAGUCAUCAUGGCCCUUACGAGUAGGGCUACACACGUGCUACAAUGGCAUAUACAAAGAGAAGCGAACUCGCGAGAGCAAGACGGACCUCAUAAAGUAUGUCGUAGUCCGGAUUGGAGUCUGCAACUCGACUCCAUGAAGUCGGAAUCGCUAGUAAUCGUAGAUCAGAAUGCUACGGUGAAUACGUUCCCGGGCCUU
This 209-nucleotide ribosomal RNA is filed under the name uncultured Enterobacteriaceae bacterium. Its description in RNAcentral is "partial 16S ribosomal RNA". It matches the Rfam family "Bacterial small subunit ribosomal RNA", at positions 1175 to 1382 of the family's 1533-position model. Lineage: Bacteria; Pseudomonadati; Pseudomonadota; Gammaproteobacteria; Enterobacterales; Enterobacteriaceae. The record is from RNAcentral.